This is a long non-coding RNA of Phragmites australis (common reed), 548 nucleotides long. RefSeq lists it as uncharacterized. The record is from RefSeq and is a predicted model, not a curated record. Lineage: Eukaryota; Viridiplantae; Streptophyta; Magnoliopsida; Poales; Poaceae. The transcript is spliced from 2 exons.
AUAACCCGUUGUGAAAAAAAAAGUGAGGCGGGGCAGGGGAAGUUGGCAUAUCAGGUCGCCGGGGCGCGGAGCAGGCCUGCGCGGGAAGGGCGGCGGUUCCCGGGACGACGACGGCGGCGGUAGAGAUGAGAUUGCCAUGGGGGAAGUGAUGAACCAGGUUCUUGUGGACUUGGCAGACUCUUGAGAAACAAUACCAUAUGAAGAACUACCAGCCGCGAAAGCGGAAAUGAUAGGAGAAUUGGAUGGCACCAGUGUGUUAUGGUUCUGAAGAGCUAUAGCAGCAGCGUAGUUGAAUUGAAAGGGGGAGGACGGUAUGUGGUGAGGACGGCAUGAAAUAUAUGUGUUGAAUGUGAACUUCCAAUGGAAGGAUAGGUCAAGUAACCAAGCCAUGUAAGGGCUUCAGUUGACCUUUGACCCAGUUGCGAAGAUCAGGUAAAAGAAAAGGAUGUUAACAGUUGUUUAGUUGAACUACCCCAAUCAUUUGUCUGUUAUGAAGACUUGCAAAUUGAAGUUUGUUAACGAAUGAUUUAUUACAGUUCAUUUUCCUA